GUUUAGCCCUGAUUGCAGCGGCAUCCUUUUUUGAAGUAUGAAAAAAAGAUAUAGCGGAAAGCAGGAAUUAGC
RNAcentral lists this small RNA (72 nucleotides) under Tenacibaculum piscium. RNAcentral describes it as "Flavo-1 RNA". It matches the Rfam family "Flavo-1 RNA". Lineage: Bacteria; Pseudomonadati; Bacteroidota; Flavobacteriia; Flavobacteriales; Flavobacteriaceae. The record is from Rfam by way of RNAcentral.